CGGAUAAAAUCUGGUUGGCUUCGGUGAACCGGAUCAAAGGUGGUCUCUUUUAAAAAGCUACCGUUUGGAGAUGAGCUCGCGUACCAUUAGCUUGUUGGUGGGGUAAAGGCUCACCAAGGCGACAAUUGGUAAGCUGGUCUGAGAGGAUGAUCAGCCACACCCGGAACUGGAACACGGUCCGGACUCCUACGGGAGGCAGCAGUGAGGAAUUUUGCGCAAUGGGGGAAACCCUGACGCAGCAACGCCGCGUGAGUGAUGAAGGCUUUCGGGUCGUAAAGCUCUGUCAGGUGGGAAGAACCCACCAGGUGUAAACAUCACCUGGUGCUGACGGUACCACCGAAUGAAGCACCGGCUAACUCCGUGCCAGCAGCCGCGGUAAUACGGGGGGUGCGAGCGUUAUUCGGAACUCAUUGGGCGUAAAGGGCGCGCAGGCGGUUUUGUAAGUCAGAUGUGAAAUCCCGGGGCUUAACCCCGGAAAGUGCAUAUGAAACUAUUGAGACUUGAGUAUGGGAGAGGGAAGCGGAAUUCCUGGUGUAACGGUUGAACAUGCGUAGAUAUCAGGAGGAACACCGGUGGCGAAGUCGGCUUCCUGGACCAAUACUGACGCUGAGGCGCGAAGGCUUGGGGAGCGAACAGGAUUAGAUACCCUGGUAGUCCACGCAGUAAACGUUGAUCACUAGGUGUAGCGGGUAUUGACCCCUGCUGUGCCGGAGUUAACGCAUUAAGUGAUCCGCCUGGGGAGUACGAUCGCAAGAUUAAAACUCAAAGGAAUUGACGGGGGCCCGCACAAGCGGUGGAGCAUGUGGUUUAAUUCGACGCAACGCGAAGAACCUUACCUGGACUUGACAUCUCGGGAAUUCCGUUGAAAGACGGGAGUGCCUUUAACGAGGAAUCCGAUGACAGGUGCUGCAUGGCUGUCGUCAGCUCGUGUCGUGAGAUGUUGGGUUAAGUCCCGCAACGAGCGCAACCCCUAUCUUCAGUUGCCAUCAGGUGAUGCUGGGGACUUUGGAGAUACUGCCCCGGUUAACGGGGAGGAAGGUGGGGAUGACGUCAAGUCCUCAUGGCCUUUAUGUCCAGGGCUACACACGUGCUACAAUGGUAUGUACAAAGGGAAGCGAUCCCGCGAGGAGGAGCUAAUCCCAAAAAGCAUAUCAAAGUUUCGGAUCGGAGUCUGCAACUCGACUCCGUGAAGUUGGAAUCGCUAGUAAUCGCGGAUCAGCAUGCCGCGGUGAUACGUUCCCGGGCAUUGUACACACCGCCCGUCACACCAUGAGAGUUGCUGUACCAGAAGUCGUUGG
RNAcentral lists this ribosomal RNA (1298 nucleotides) under uncultured organism. Its description in RNAcentral is "bacterial SSU rRNA". It matches the Rfam family "Bacterial small subunit ribosomal RNA", at positions 170 to 1433 of the family's 1533-position model. The record is from RNAcentral.